AAUCAACGCUGGCGGCGUGCCUAACACAUGCAAGUCGAACGCGAAGGUGGAGCAAUCCAUGAGUAGAGUGGCAAACGGGUGAGUAACGCGUGGGCGACCUACCUUCGAGUGGGGGAUAACCUUCCGAAAGGAGGGCUAAUACCGCAUGACAUCCCGUGUUUGGAUACACGGACAUCAAAGCCGGGGAUCGUAAGACCUGGCGCUUGAAGAGGGGCCCGCGUCCGAUUAGCUAGUUGGGGGGUAACGGCUCACCAAGGCUCCGAUCGGUAUCCGGCCUGAGAGGGCGGACGGACACACUGGAACUGAGACACGGUCCAGACUCCUACGGGAGGCAGCAGUGGGGAAUUGUUCGCAAUGGGCGCAAGCCUGACGACGCAACGCCGCGUGGAGGAUGAAGACUUUCGGUC
RNAcentral lists this ribosomal RNA (407 nucleotides) under uncultured bacterium. RNAcentral's name for it is "bacterial SSU rRNA". It matches the Rfam family "Bacterial small subunit ribosomal RNA", at positions 32 to 424 of the family's 1533-position model. The record is from RNAcentral.